RNAcentral lists this transfer RNA (73 nucleotides) under Yarrowia lipolytica. It matches the Rfam family "tRNA". From Rfam's summary of the family: Transfer RNA (tRNA) molecules are approximately 80 nucleotides in length. Their secondary structure includes four short double-helical elements and three loops (D, anti-codon, and T loops). Further hydrogen bonds mediate the characteristic L-shaped molecular structure. tRNAs have two regions of fundamental functional importance: the anti-codon, which is responsible for specific mRNA codon recognition, and the 3' end, to which the tRNAs corresponding amino acid is attached (by aminoacyl-tRNA synthetases). tRNAs cope with the degeneracy of the genetic code in two manners: having more than one tRNA (with a specific anti-codon) for a particular amino acid; and 'wobble' base-pairing, i.e. permitting non-standard base-pairing at the 3rd anti-codon position. Lineage: Eukaryota; Fungi; Ascomycota; Dipodascomycetes; Dipodascales. The record is from RNAcentral.
UCCGAUAUAGUGUAGGGGUCAUCACUUCCGCCUUUCACGCGGAGAACCCGGGUUUCGAUUCCCGGUAUCGGAG